UACGGAGGAUCCAAGCGUUAUCCGGAUUUAUUGGGUUUAAAGGGUGCGUAGGCGGCCUAUUAAGUCAGGGGUGAAAGACGGUAGCUUAACUAUCGCAGUGCCCUUGAUACUGAUGGGCUUGAAUGUACUAGAGGUAGGCGGAAUGUGACAAGUAGCGGUGAAAUGCAUAGAUAUGUCACAGAACACCAAUUGCGAAGGCAGCUUACUAUUGUAUGAUUGACGCUGAGGCACGAAAGCGUGGGGAUCAAACAGG
Molecule: ribosomal RNA, 253 nt
Filed under: uncultured bacterium
Lineage: Bacteria
Description: partial 16S ribosomal RNA
Rfam family: Bacterial small subunit ribosomal RNA
Source: RNAcentral